CCUACGGGAGGCAGCAGUAGGGAAUAUUGCUCAAUGGGGGAAACCCUGACGCAGCAACGCCGCGUGAAGGAUGAAGGUUUUCGGAUUGUAAACUCCUUUUGUGAGAGAAGAUAAUGACGGUAUCUAACGAGUAAGCACCAGCUAACUCUGUGCCAGCAGCCGCGGUAAUACGGGGGGUGCAAGCGUUACUCGGAAUUACUGGGCGUGAAGAGCGCGUAGGCGGGAUAGCAAGUCAGAUGUGAAAUCCUAUGGCUUAACCAUAGAACUGCAUUUGAAACUGUUAUUCUAGAGUAUGGGAGAGGUAGGUGGAAUUCUUGGUGUAGGGGUAAAAUCCGUAGAGAUCAAGAGGAAUACUCGUUGCGAAGGCGACCUGCUAGAACAUAACUGACGCUGAUGCGCGAAAGCGUGGGGAGCAAACAGGAUUAGAUACCCUAGUAGUC
This 440-nucleotide ribosomal RNA is filed under the name uncultured bacterium. RNAcentral describes it as "partial 16S ribosomal RNA". It matches the Rfam family "Bacterial small subunit ribosomal RNA", at positions 338 to 795 of the family's 1533-position model. The record is from RNAcentral.